CGGGGGCGAGGCGAGUUCAGUGUUGAGUGUCCAAGGUCCGAGGCCUUCCGGAGCAGGAGGGCAGGGGCACGCAGCAGACCGGCAGGCGAGCACGUGGGUCUGGUCUGCACGUGUGGGCCUGGGCGCCCUCCCUGCCUGGAGGCCACGACCUGUCGACUUGGCACUUCCCUGGCCCAGGGCCCUUUGCUCUCAUCAGCCCCCUCAUCUCUGCUCAGGGGUGAAAACCAGUUCUCCGUCGCCUUCUGCUUGGGGGAAGUGGGCGCUAGCUCUAAACGCCAUUCUCUUUUGCUGACCCUUUGGAGUUAUUCUUACUUGGAACGCGCGGCACCUACACAGUGGUUGGCGGACAGUGUGAGCAGAGAGACUGAGAUGCGUCGACUCGGGUUGUGUGUUCGGUGCAGGUCGACAUCAGCGAUGGCUCCCCCUUUGGAAGGAGGCACGGAUGCACUGUUCCCAGAUGUCCCCCGGGGCCCCCUGCAUGCCUUCCGCGCCCGCGCGUCCUUCAGCUGGAAGGAGCUGGCACUGUUUUGGGAUGGCGAGGACGUGCUGCGUCUGAAGAAAACCAUCUUCUCGGCUUUGGAGAACGACCCCCUCUUUGCCCCGCCCCGGGAAGGCAACCUCCCCAUGGAGAAGUACCGGGAACUGAACUUCCUGCGUCUCAAGCGGGUCCUCGAGCAUGACUUCCUGCGUGUGGCCGAGCUACUCGAGAGCCCCCUCAAGGCCCUGGCACUGAUAAGCUGUCUGGGCAUGUAUGACUGGUCCCUGGCUAUCAAGCUCUUCCUGCACACAGUGGUUUUCGCAUUCGCGAUUUACAGCUCCGGUUCCGAAAGGCACUUCAAAUACAUUCAGAAGGUUUUCAAUCUGGAGAUUUUUGGAUGUUUUGCUCUGACCGAGAUCAGUCACGGGAGCAACACCAAGGCCAUCCGGACGACCGCUCACUACGACCCCAGCACCGAGGAAUUCAUCAUAAAUUCCCCGGAUUUCGAGGCUGCCAAGUUUUGGGUUGGGAACCUGGGCAAGACGGCUACGCACGCCGUGCUGUUCGCUCAGCUGCACAUGCCGGGGGGCCAGUGCCACGGCCUGCACGCCUUCGUCAUCCAGAUUCGGGACCCGAAGACCCUUCUUCCCGUGCCAGGGGUGAUGGUGGGCGACAUGGGGAAGAAGCUCGGGCAGAAUGGCUUGGACAAUGGGUUCGCCAUGUUCCACCAGGUCAGAAUUCCUCGCCAGGAUCUCCUGAACCGGCACGGAGACGUCACCCCUGAGGGCACCUAUGUCACCCCCUUCAAGGACGCCAGGCAGCACUUCGGGGCGUCUCUGGGCAGCUUGUCCAACGGCCGGGUCUCCAUCACGAGUAUGUCCGUCACUAACCUGAAGCUGGCCGUGUCCAUAGCCAUCCGCUUCUCAGCCACGCGGCGUCAGUUCGGGCCUACAGGCGAGGAGGAGGUGCCGGUCCUGGAGUACCCAAUGCAGCAAUGGCGCCUCCUCCCGUACCUGGCAGCCGCUUUCGCCUUAGACCACUUUUCCAAAUCGCUCUUCCUGGGCCUGGUGGAGCUGCAGCAAGGCCUUCUGGGGAACAGCCGGAGCGCCCGGCAGGCUGAGCUGGGGCGCGAGGUGCACGCCCUGGGGUCAGCCGGCAAGGCCCUGGCCUCGUGGACCGCCCAGCGGGGAAUCCAGGAGUGCAGAGAGGCGUGCGGAGGACACGGCUACCUGGCCGUGAACCGCCUGGGCAACCUCAGAGAUGACAACGACCCCAACUGCACGUACGAAGGGGACAACAAUGUCCUGCUGCAGCAGACCAGCAACUACCUGCUCGGCCUGGCAGGUGGGGGGCCAGGUGGUGCUCGCGUCCAGAGCCCUCUGAGGAGCGUGGACUUCCUGGACGCCUACCCCGCCCUCCUUGGCCGGAAGUUCACGGUCACCAGCCUCCAGGACUGCCUGGACGACUCAGUUCCCCUGGCAGCGUAUGAGUGGCUGGUCUGUUACCUGCUCCGAGAGACUCACCAAAAACUCAGCGAAGAGAAGAGAUCGGGGAGCAGCGACUUCGCAGCCAGAAACAACUCUCAGGGCUGUCCCCCGUUCCGGGAGCCCCGUGCAAACGCAGUGUGGAGAGACAGCCCGUGAAGCCGGGGCCAGGCCGCGAUCCACACGUCCGUGUCCCUGGACCGAUGCUGUCACUUGGGAGGCCGUGAUAAGGGAAGCACCCGAGGCUCCUCAAACUGGUGGUGUCCCUUCCCCUCGGUGUCGAUCCGUCCCUGUCUGCCCGCCUCCUCUGAAAGCCCGGCCCUCCUAAGCCGCCAGGGCCAGCUGCCCCCUGGGGCGGACGCAGAGCUGGUAGUGCCUCCAGGGAAUGGUGGACUCCUGCCCGGGUGGAGACGAGGAACGAGGAUGGGGUCGACGGGAAGGGCUCGGGCCGAGGGCGACUGAGCCAGCGUCGAACCUGUAGCUUAAAGGAAGUGAACCAGCGGCGGCCAGGAUCGGCUACGCCUCGGUUCAGAGCCGCAGCGCGUGAAAUGGGCAUGGAACUGCCCUCGGAGUGGGCAGCGGCCGGGCAGGCUCGGUCACUCGGACGCUGGCGGCUGCGGACUCGCUCAUCCCACAUCGGUCCUAACGCUGUGUGUCAGAUCGUCUUCCUUCAGGCGGAAACGGAGGCCCUGCCCUGAGUUACAAGCCGGCACCCCGAAGAGGUGGAGGGCACAGAGGGGGUCCCGCUUUCCCUCUCCCAGACCCGAGAGUUGCCCGGGGCCGGUGGCUCCGUCCGCACUGCCCGUCACCGUGCCGGCGCCUGGCACGUGUGCCGUCACGGCGGAAGCCAGGCGGUGGCUCGUUUGAGAAGUAGCUCACCUUCCUUAGCCCUUCGCCAAGGGACCCUCACGGUGUCCAGUGGGUCACGCGGCAGAAGAUGGAGGGGCCGGUGGGUGUCCCCAGGGAGUCAGGCAGAGCUGACCAGCACACGUGAGCUGAGGCACAGCCCCACGGAGUGGCUGACGGGACAGUGGCCUAAGGCCCGGAAGGGAGGAUGUGACCCGAGGGGGCCUGUGCCGCCCACCCCGGGUCUGGGUCAGCGAGCGUUCAAGGCCGAGCUUGGGGUCGGUCUGACAGCUGGGCGCGCCCAGAGCCCAGGGCUGGACCUUCAGGGUCCCGAGGGAUGUCGUCCCGUCCCACACGGCAGCUGGAGCGGGCGCAGCGCACGAGCAGGCGUCAGGGGACGCGUGUGCCCUUGGCGUGGGCGGGCCUCCCUGAGGCCGGGGGCCGUCAGCUCCGACGGUGGACGCGUGCCCCUUCCCCGCGGCAAGUGACACUGGGAACGAGGUCGGGACGCAGUCUGCAGACGGAGAGGACACGUGACUCCCGACCACGUCCCCCGCCGUGAGGUCCUGCGGACAGAGGGGCGGCAGCCCUGCAGUCUCUGGCCAUGGACCAGCGCCAGGGCGUGCGGGCGAAGGACGGUGUCCAGUGGGCAGCGGCCACUCCGCGUGCUGUCGACGGAGGGCGGGAGCUGCCGUCCCUGGGGAGACUUCCUGCUUUAGUCGAAGUGUGACGCGUGUUCCCUCUGACACUGCAGAGAGGCUUUUAACUUCCCUCUGUCCGCGCCGCCGGUAACACCUGCCGCUUGCUGUCUGCUUCGCAAGCCAGGCGCACACAGUGUACUACAGCCGCUCCCUGGCCCUGGCGUUCCUGGAGCUCACGGUCGUGCGGAAGUUCCACGAGUUCACGCACCAGCCCUGCG
This is an RNA transcript of Pteropus alecto (black flying fox), 3727 nucleotides long. It is a transcript of the gene named acyl-CoA oxidase 3, pristanoyl, with no coding region annotated. The transcript is spliced from 15 exons. The record is from RefSeq and is a predicted model, not a curated record. Lineage: Eukaryota; Metazoa; Chordata; Mammalia; Chiroptera; Pteropodidae.